CAUUUUUUAUUUUAUUUUAUUUUUACUACUCUAUUAUUGUUUUUUCUCUAAUCGACUAUAAAAACUAGGUAAAACUAUGCAUAAUAACUGGUGGUUAUAAUGUUAGCAACUUUUGUUUUUUCGUCAAACAUUAGUUCUCCAGCUCUCGCUACCGUUGUCAGUCACUUGCAGACGUUUGGAGUGCAUUAGGUCGAAUCAUAGAAUAUUAAAAUAUAAACGAAUAAUCAAACUACACAAAAUCAUAAACAUGUAUUAGCCCGUAAUAUUUUCAAAAAGAAUAGUACGAUUUCGAAUACUUGACACUACUUGUUCAGGACAUGGGGAAAGAGUGUAACGUCCUGUGGAAAAAAAAAAAAGUACGCCUGGUCACCCCGUAAAUAUAUUAUUGUAAUUAACAAUCGCAAUUGCGGUUCGAAAUUCCGAACAGAUUACAAUGAUUGUCUCGUCGCGAUAUUCGCGCCAUCGGAAC
This is a non-coding RNA of Cinara cedri, 469 nucleotides long. The record is from the annotation of a GenBank genome assembly. NCBI's taxonomy places the organism in Eukaryota, Metazoa, Arthropoda, Insecta, Hemiptera, Aphididae.